UGCCAGCCGCCGCGGUAAUACGAAGGGGGCUAGCGUUGUUCGGAAUUACUGGGCGUAAAGCGCGCGUAGGCGGAUUGAUCAGUUGGGGGUGAAAUCCCGAGGAUUAACCUCGGAACUGCCCUCAAUACUGUCAGUCUAGAGUUCGGAAGAGGUAAGUGGAAUUCCUAGUGUAGAGGUGAAAUUCGUAGAUAUUAGGAAGAACACCAGUGGCGAAGGCGGCUUACUGGUCCGAUACUGACGCUGAGGUGCGAAAGCGUGGGGAGCAAACAGGAUUAGAUA
This 279-nucleotide ribosomal RNA is filed under the name uncultured bacterium. RNAcentral describes it as "partial 16S ribosomal RNA". It matches the Rfam family "Bacterial small subunit ribosomal RNA", at positions 506 to 784 of the family's 1533-position model. The record is from RNAcentral.